RNAcentral lists this ribosomal RNA (468 nucleotides) under uncultured bacterium. RNAcentral describes it as "partial 16S ribosomal RNA". It matches the Rfam family "Bacterial small subunit ribosomal RNA", at positions 28 to 507 of the family's 1533-position model. The record is from RNAcentral.
GACGAACGCUGGCGGCGUGCUUAACACAUGCAAGUCGAACGGAAAGGCCCUGCUUUUUUGGGGUGCUCGAGUUGCGAACGGGUGAGUAACACUUGAGUAACCUGCCCUUGACUUUGGGAUAACUUCAGGAAACUGGGGCUAAUACCGGCUAGGAGCUCCUGCUGCAUGGUGGGGGUUGGAAAGUUUCGGCGGUUGGUGAUGGACUCGCGGCUUAUCAGCUUGUUGGUGGGGUAGUGGCUUACCAAGGCUUUGACGGGUAGCCGGCCUGAGAGGGUGAGCGGCCACAUUGGGACUGAGAUAAGGCACAGACUCCUACGGGAGGCAGCAGUGGGGAAUAGUGCACAAUGGGCGGAAGCCUGAUGCAGCAACGCCGCGUGCGGGAUGACGGCAUUCGGGUUGGAAACCGCUUUCGCCUGUGACGAAGCGUGAGUGACGGUAAUGGGUAAAGAAGCACCGGCUAACUACGUG